AGCUCUAGAAGCGUAUAUUAAUUUUGUUGCAGUUAAAAAGCUCGUAGUUGGAUUUCUGGUGGGAGAGAUCGGUCCGCUUUAUAGUGGUACUUGUGUCUUCUCCGGCCAUCCUUGGGUGGAGGUUGUCUGGCAUUAAGUUGUCGGGCAGCGGAUGCCCAUCGUUUACUGUGAAAAAAUUAGAGUGUUCAAAGCAGGCUUAUGCCGUUGAAUAUAUUAGCAUGGAAUAAUAAGAUAGGACUUUGGUACUAUUUUGUUGGUUUGCGCACCAAAGUAAUGAUUAAUAGGGACAGUUGGGGGUAUUCGUAUUCCGUUGUCAGAGGUGAAAUUCUUGGAUUUCCGGAAGACGAACUACUGCGAAAGCAUUUACCAAGGAUGUUUUCAUUA
Molecule: ribosomal RNA, 384 nt
Filed under: Chaetoceros sp.
Lineage: Eukaryota; Bacillariophyta; Thalassiosirophyceae; Chaetocerotales; Chaetocerotaceae
Description: partial small subunit ribosomal RNA
Rfam family: Eukaryotic small subunit ribosomal RNA
Source: RNAcentral